Molecule: long non-coding RNA, 846 nt
Organism: Symphalangus syndactylus (siamang)
Lineage: Eukaryota; Metazoa; Chordata; Mammalia; Primates; Hylobatidae
Source: RefSeq, a predicted model, not a curated record
CAAGAGUUAGAUAAAAUUGCUGCCUCAUUCUACUAAUAAGAAAAAGUGAGUCUCCAAAAGAUGUUUGCCUAAGGUCAAGUAGCUAACAGGUGGCAGAAUCUGGAUUUGAACCUAGAUCUCUCAGAUGCUAAAGCUUGACCAUCCUGCUACAGCAACCAGAGCCCAGGAAACCCACCUAUGACGGGGCAGAGAUGGAGUAACAGAUCAGAGGGGUUCAGCUCACAAAUCAAAAGAUGCUUUUCCCUCCCUGCCGCUAAAUCUGCAGCCUCUCCCAGACACCUCACAAAUCCUGCUUUGAUCUUGAUUAGCCUGGAUGCUUCUAGGUUGGAAAAGGCUCUUUUUCUCAAUUGUCAAAUGGAAAUAAGAGCCACUCUAGCCUUAUGGCUAAGGAACUGGAGCUUCAGAAUCAAGCAGAACUGGGUUCAACUCCCACCUAUGUCCUGUGUGGCCUCAGGCAAGUCACAUCACCUCUCUGAGCCUCCAUUCCUUCAUCUGAAAAAUGGGCUUCCAGCAAUUCUGGCCUCUCAGAGUCAUUGUGAGAAUGACUCAAGAUGAUGCACAUAGAAGUGUUUAGCACUUGAAUGUCUUCUAGCAAGAUCAGGAAACAUCACCUAUUACUACUAAAUGGGGCUUUGGCCUACAGCCUGGCAUGCAUAUCCACUGGCCGGCCCACCAGAAGCCAUAUUAGACUAAGAGGUGACUCAGGAUGGCCAUGCACUGGAGGUAGUAAAGCAGAGAGAAAGGAUUCUGCCUGAUGACAGCCUACAGCCUCCAUUACCAGGCCUGGACCAAUCACCUAUGGACUUUUUCUACAUGAGAUAAUAAACCAUUAUAUGUUUAAAUCUG